AGUAGGUAGGGUAAUGGCCUACCUAGCCUAUGAUGGAUAGGGGUUCUGAGAGGAAGGUCCCCCACAUUGGAACUGCGACACGGUCCAAACUCCUACGGGAGGCAGCAGUGAGGAAUAUUGGUCAAUGGCCGGAAGGCUGAACCAGCCAAGUAGCGUGCAGGAUGACUGCCUUAUGGGUUGUAAACUGCUUUUUUACGGGAAUAAUUAUGAUCACGUGUGAUUAUUUGCAUGUACCGUAAGAAUAAGGAUCGGCUAACUCCGUGCCAGCAGCCGCGGUAAUACGGAGGAUCCUAGUGUUAUCCGGAUUUAUUGGGUUUAAAGGGAGCGUAGGCGGGAGGUCAAGUCAGCUGUGAAAUGUAUCUGCUUAACGGGUACACUGCAGUUGAAACUGGUUUUCUUGAGUGCGUAAGAGGCAGGCGGAAUUCGUUGUGUAGCGGUGAAAUGCUUAGAUAUGACGAGGAACUCCUAUUGCGAAGGCAGCUUGCUGGGUCGUUACUGACGCUGAUGCUCGAAGGUGCGGGGAUCAAACAGGAUUAGAUACCCUGGUAGUCCGCACAGUAAACUAUGGAUACUCUCUGCCGGCGAUAUAUUGUC
RNAcentral lists this ribosomal RNA (594 nucleotides) under uncultured bacterium. RNAcentral's name for it is "bacterial SSU rRNA". It matches the Rfam family "Bacterial small subunit ribosomal RNA", at positions 247 to 838 of the family's 1533-position model. The record is from RNAcentral.